This 446-nucleotide ribosomal RNA is filed under the name uncultured bacterium. Its description in RNAcentral is "partial 16S ribosomal RNA". It matches the Rfam family "Bacterial small subunit ribosomal RNA", at positions 338 to 795 of the family's 1533-position model. The record is from RNAcentral.
CCUACGAGGGGCAGCAGUCGAGAAUCAUUCACAAUGGGGGAAACCCUGAUGGUGCGACGCCGCGUGGGGGAAUGAAGGUCUUCGGAUUGUAAACCCCUGUCAUGUGGGAGCAAAUUAAAAAGCUAGUACCAUAAGAGGAAGAGACGGCUAAUUCUGUGCCAGCAGCCGCGGUAAUACAGCGGUGUUAAGCGUUGUUCGGAAUCACUGGGCGUAAAGCGUGCGGUGGCUGUUUCGUAAGUCGUGUGUGAAAGGCGCGGGCUCAACCCGCGGACGGCACAUGAUACUGGGCGACUUGAGUAAUGGAGGGGGAACCGGAAUUCUCGGUGUAGCAGUGAAAUGCGUAGAUAUCGAGAAGAACACUCGUGGCGAAGGCGGGUUCCUAGACAUUAACUGACGCUGAGGCACGAAGGCCAGGGGAGCGAAAGGGAUUAGAUACCCCAGUAGUC